Molecule: non-coding RNA, 69 nt
Organism: Cavia porcellus (domestic guinea pig)
Lineage: Eukaryota; Metazoa; Chordata; Mammalia; Rodentia; Caviidae
Source: Ensembl
CAAAGUGUAGCUUAAAUUAAAGCAUCCGGCUUACACCCGGAAGAUUUCAGCCACCAUUGACCACUUUGA